This 67-nucleotide small RNA is filed under the name Lysinibacillus sp. AC-3. Its description in RNAcentral is "Bacillaceae-1 RNA". It matches the Rfam family "Bacillaceae-1 RNA". The record is from RNAcentral. Lineage: Bacteria; Bacillati; Bacillota; Bacilli; Caryophanales; Bacillaceae.
AACAGAGGAACUCAGUCUACGAACGCCACUUCCUGUGGCAACGACUGAGUGACCGACAUCGUGUCGG